This 240-nucleotide unclassified non-coding RNA is filed under the name soil metagenome. RNAcentral describes it as "partial contains 5.8S ribosomal RNA, internal transcribed spacer 2, and large subunit ribosomal RNA". The record is from RNAcentral.
AACUGAUACUACCUGCGGGAACCUGCGGAAGGAUCAUUACUGAGGAGGGUCCAUGGCCCGAUCUCCAACCCUUUGAUAAAAACACCAUGUUGCUUUGGCAGGCCCGCCCGUUGGGGCCGCGGGGGAUCGCCGGUCCCUAGCCCGUGCCUGCCGGUAGCCUUCACAAAACUCUCAAAAUGUUGUCGUCUGAGAUGAUUAGAAUAAUAAAACUUUUAACAAUGGAUCUCUAGAUCGGAAGAG